This is a long non-coding RNA of Electrophorus electricus (electric eel), 1086 nucleotides long. RefSeq lists it as uncharacterized. The record is from RefSeq and is a predicted model, not a curated record. Lineage: Eukaryota; Metazoa; Chordata; Actinopteri; Gymnotiformes; Gymnotidae.
AGGUAGAGAGAGGUAGAGAGGCUACUCAGAGAAGUAGAGCAGAUCAGGGCUGCUGUAGAGAACUGCAAUACUUGGCAUCCAGCAGACAAAAGGGCGGGACUGGCAAGGAAACCGGUGCUGAGUAAAGCUCAUUUUCUCCUUAGUGUGUGUGUGUGUGUGCAUGCGUGCGUGAGUGUAUGUGUUUGUAUGUGUAUGUAUGUGUGUACACGUGUGAGCAUGCAUGUUUGUGUGUAAACAGGAUCCCACUUUCUACUAAACAUGUUUUAAAGCUGCUGAGGCUAAGAAUUCUACUUAGAGGAUUUCUAGCAGUGUCUCUCCUGCUUUCUCUCUUUUUCUGUGUCUGUCUCUCUCUCUCUCUCUCUCUCUCUCUCUCUCUCUCUCUCUCUCUCACACACAGACACACACACACACACAGAGACGCUAGACACUGCAUGCUUUGUGUGAAAUCGGAGCAGGGCAAGGCAGUAAUGAGAGGUAUGGAUGGAUGAUGAGUUGCUCGGGUUCGGGCUCGGGCAGAGAGGCAGUGCAGUAGGGAGUCUCCUCCCGACUCUCUGAUUGCCUGUUACCUCAUUACUCUCUACUGGAAGGGAAUUUCUUUUUGAUCUCUAAGAGACUAAUGAAGACAGAGCUCAAUACUUUGGUACUGUAUACAGAAGCUGGAAAGGAUCAAUCAUGCUUUUGGAUCAAGAAGAACAGAGAACCUUAAGAGAUUAAAGAAGUGUCAUGUGCACAGUGGCAUGCAUAUAUUUUUAUGAUAAUGAUUAUUAUUCAGAACUUCAUCGGACCUCAUUUUGCAAUGCACAGAUCCCACAGUCUUUUUAGGUGUAUUAUCUCACCCCUGUAAAGCUCAUUUCACUGCUAUCAUUUAGAGAAAUCCAAGCAGUUCAUUUACAAACCCCAACUUGCAGAAAGCAGGACUUCAGUGUUGAUCCACAUUAAGGAUUAGGGACUCUGAGUCAAUCCCCCAGCCGGUCCAUGCAUGGUUAGAGGUCUAGUAGACUGAUCCUUUUCUUCUUUUUAUUCAUUUGAACAAUGGCUGUCUUCUCUUAAUACACAGUUUAAUCUCGCAGAUUAAAAUGAACAUGA